UUACGUUGGUUUUGAAGGGACUGUGCAUAAAUACACGUGAAAGGUGCAGAAUUCGUCUCAAACAAUAGAAGUCUUCCACAUAGAAACCUGGUUUCCUUAAAACAUCGUCCCCGUGCCGUCUGGAGUUCUGAGGCUUGAACCCCUCCGGUGAACAGCAUCCCAUGCGGAGCACAGACCUGCAGUAAUUACGGGAACAGCAGUUUGUCACGAGCUGCUGGCGGCACCAAUGGACAGUCUGCUGAAGUCCACGACGAGAAAAACAAAUCAAGCUCCUGACCUUGGCAGCGUCGCUCACUUGGGGAUUUUUUGUAACCUUCUAAUAUCCAAGUAAUGAAUUAACUUGCAUGUAAUCAGUGAACACAACACCAGAGAUCGAGCUGGAAAGCAGACACCUCUUAAGCUAAGACUGAAAACCAAUGUUACUUUCUUACAAAAGAAAAGAUUGACAACACUAUACUACAUAUGGACAAUUAUGGUUGUGUAAACCAGAAUGCUUAGUAUAAUAGUUAUCUCAAGAAUGGUGUUUUCAAAUAUCUUUAGCAGCUAAUAUUCUAUUUAGAGCUAAUAUUCUUUCCCAGUUUUAAAGCUGCCCUCUGUAAUAUAUAAAUGGGAGAUUAAAAGUCAGAUGCUGUAUUGCAGGCAGUUGAUAAAGAGCAGCAGAUGACAUUAUCCACAUUACCUCAAUAAACUGUGGUGUUCUUCAAAAUAUACAAACCCCAGUAUCUGUGCAGCCUAGUCAUCCUCCAAGGUAGACCAUUUUAUAUCCAUUUACUGCUGCAAUCCCAGUUUGGUGAAGAUUGUGUAGUAGUUUCCCCUUGGACCUUCUGCUUGCAACCACCCAUACCCAUCAAAAAUUCCCACUUGUGAGACUCAGGUUUCCAUGACUGCGACUGCAAAAGGUGAAUUUUUAUUUCAAUAUUUUAUGACGAUCUUUUUUAACAUUUCAAAACACAGGAAGGUACGGGGGAAAAAAUCUUAAGCUUAUUUUGUUUUCUAUUCGCUGGCCAGAGGUGAGAUCUGAAAGCAAAACUCAGAACUAUUUCUCUGCAGGAAGGAGUGCAUGACUAAUUUGGGGGAGACACCUGCUUUCAUUUGAUCAAAUAAAAUUACAGAUCGUUUGGAUACGAACGCACCCAAAUGAUCACCUGGCAGUUAUUCUCACAUUCAUUUAUUCACCCUGGAAAGCACAUGCACUGUUUAGGUGUCCGUGCUACUGAUGGGUUCUACCCUCAGUGAUGCCACCUUGCCCCGCAAGCACGAGGCGUGACAAGAGAACGCCCUUGGCCUGUCUGUCCCUUUGUCUGUCCCUCUGUCUGUCCCGUGUCCGCCCCGCGCUGGCAGCGUGCGGCACGGCGCGUCUCUGGGCCUUGCUGAUUCUCCGGGGUGAGGAACAUUGCAGAUCAUUGCUGCUGGAUGGCACCUGCGCCGUUAUCUGCUCCUGCUGGGCUCUCGCUGAACCCAGGCUGCUCUCUGAGUUCCUUAAUUGCUCACCGCGGAAGCUGAAGGUGACACCAGAAGCAAAUCACCAUAAACACAUGCAAACCUCUCUUACAACAGCAAACGAGACGGUCAUAGAUGGCGCAGAGUGCGGAUCAGCAAGAGCCGUUUUGCUCUAAAUCUCAUUUUCACACAUCUUCAGCCCCGGUAUAGAAUCCCAGCAGAUGCCUGGGAAGACAAGUAGCUUAAGUUUAUAUGGGCAUAUAUAAAUCCCUGAAUUACUUUCUGCUGUUUAUACUUCAUAAACUAAUAUAGCAGUGAACAAACUUCAUUUGCAGAACUGUGAACAAACUGCAUUUCAUAGAAGUUAUCCAGUUAUGGGCCAGGCCUUGCAUUUCUUACGCAGGAAGGAUUAAAUCAAAAGGCAAGUAGUCUGUGAAAAGGUGGGUUUAUACACAGCCAGCCGAACCCUUGAUAAAUUAUCUUCUUGAAGGAAAAUGAAGGUUUCCAGCAGAUUUCCCUGUACUUGUUUUGAGAGCAGCUUUCGCUUGCCCCCCUCGAGGCUUUCUUCAGAAGUGAAGCUGAAGCUAAAUGUCUAGUGAGGCCCAGUUUCUAAGGAUGAUUUUGCUAACACAGGAUUAAGGCUCACUGCCAGUGGAAUGCAGGGCAGGUAACGCUGCUGCUCAUGGUUUAAACUGUUUUGUGGCUAAACUGCAUCUUGAUUUCUACUGAUAAUGGUUCAGUGCCUCUGAGCUUCAAACUUGCUUCUAUAAGAGGUAAAAAAAUGGGUUAUUUGGGUCUCUCAAUUUUCUUUUUCUGGAACAAAAUAAGCAAUCCUCUCAUGAUCUGAGCAAGAUAGUAACCUGUCCUGAAGUGGUUCCUCAGAGACUAAGGAGGAUGAUUCCAUUAAUUUUUUCCCUCCAGAUUAUUUCAAAGCUUUUUUCGUUUGGUUGGUUUGGUUUUCUUUCUUUCUUUAACCAUAGGUGAGACAUCAAGGGAGUUCUACAAACUAAUAGACUGUGGUCAGUCUGUCAACAUCAAGGUCAUGGCUGGUUACCCUGCAAUGGACAGUCAGCACAUUUUCUCCAUAUCCACAAAAGCAUUUCUCAAAAGCAAACAUCAAACCAACAAAAAGCCCUGCUUGACAAAUACCUCCUUUCCAGUCUAAUAUCUACAUCUCUUGCAGUUUGUCAAUACCUCGACAAAUCCUUGGUACAGAACUGCAUCUGAAUGACAACUGCCCUAUUGUUUCUCAAUGACAUCGAUUAACAAGGCCGUUUGUAAUUAGCUGGGGGAAUGUACUCCUUGCCCUGUGUAAACAUCUGGAUUUGCAAAUCUGCACUCCAAGUUUGGGAGCUCUCUGCCACACAUCACUAAUUACGCCACAUUCUAAUAUAUCAGAACCUCUAGGCUCCUGCUGAGCGUCUCUUCUUUGUUCCCAGCACCAGUCAGAGGCUGUUGUCAGUGCAGAGAAAACCAGCAUAACUGCCUAGCGCCGCAUGUGACACUUAAUGAAAAUGAAGUAGCGUCUAAUUUGCAUGGCUGGGGUGACUUUAUUAAAGCUGGGUGCUGCAGGUGUGCAGGGCUGACAGUCUGCGGCACCCGCGGCGUCUGGCAUGGGACACUGCAUCCCCCUCGCCCAUCUCCUCUGUGACCCAUCGCGCUCCUGCUAAAAUGCCAGAUUUGUUCAUUU
Long non-coding RNA from Columba livia (rock pigeon), 3130 nucleotides. RefSeq lists it as uncharacterized. NCBI's taxonomy places the organism in Eukaryota, Metazoa, Chordata, Aves, Columbiformes, Columbidae. The transcript has 3 exons. The record is from RefSeq and is a predicted model, not a curated record.